Molecule: ribosomal RNA, 446 nt
Filed under: uncultured bacterium
Lineage: Bacteria
Description: partial 16S ribosomal RNA
Rfam family: Bacterial small subunit ribosomal RNA
Source: RNAcentral
GUAGGGAAUAUUGGACAAUGGGGGGAACCCUGAUCCAGCCAUGCCGCGUGGAGGAAGACUGCCCUCUGGGUUGUAAACUCCUUUUAUAUGGGAAGAACCGUCCUCAUUAAUGAGUGACCUGACGGUACCAUAGGAAUAAGCACCGGCUAACUCCGUGCCAGCAGCCGCGGUAAUACGGAGGGUGCAAGCGUUAUCCGGAUUCACUGGGUUUAAAGGGUGCGUAGGCGGAUAAAUAAGUCAGUGGUGAAAUCAACGGGCUCAACCUGUUAACUGCCAUUGAUACUGUGUAUCUUGAAUAUGAGAGAGGUAGGCGGAAUGUUGCAUGUAGCGGUGAAAUGCUUAGAUAUGCUACGGAACACCGAUUGCGAAGGUAGCUUACUAUUUCGUAAUUGACGCUGAGGCACGAAAGCGUGGGUAGCGAACAGGAUUAGAUACCCUAGUAGUCC